RNAcentral lists this ribosomal RNA (497 nucleotides) under uncultured bacterium. RNAcentral's name for it is "partial 16S ribosomal RNA". It matches the Rfam family "Bacterial small subunit ribosomal RNA", at positions 28 to 507 of the family's 1533-position model. The record is from RNAcentral.
GAUGAACGCUGGCGGCGUGCCUAAUACAUGCAAGUCGAGCGAACGGACGAGAAGCUUGCUUCUCUGAUGUUAGCGGCGGACGGGUGAGUAACACGUGGAUAACCUACCUAUAAGACUGGGAUAACUUCGGGAAACCGUAGCUAAUACCGGAUAAUAUUUUGAACCGCAUGGUUCAAAAGUGAAAGACGGUCUUGCUUUCACUUAUAGAUGGAUCCGCGCUGCAUUAGCUAGUUGGUAAGGUAACGGCUUACCAAGGCGACGAUGCAUAGCCGACCUGAGAGGGUGAUCGGCCACACUGGAACUGAGACACGGUCCAGACUCCUACGGGAGGCAGCAGUAGGGAAUCUUCCGCAAUGGGCGAAAGCGUGACGGAGCAACGCCGCGUGAGUGAUGAAGGUCUUCGGAUCGUAAAACUCUGUUAUGAGGGAAGAACAUAUGUGUAAGUAACUGUGCACAUCUUGACGGAACCUAAUCAGAAAGCCACGGCUAACUACGUG